UAAAAAUGGAAAAAAGUGUGUUUGAUUUUGGGGGUGAGCGACGGGAGGUAGAAUCUUGAAACCCCGAAUUCCGCCACCGUGGUCUGAUCUUACUUACUUUAGCGAGGUGUUGAUUCGCACACACAAACAAUGGCGAAAACUUUUACUCUUCUUCAGACGCUUGCUACUGCGGCUGGUUUUUCUGCCCUUACAUGCUGGUAUGGCUAUAUGUUUGGAAAAGAAUCUGCUCGUAAGGAACUCAGCACUUUGAUUGAAGAUCUUCGCCGCGGAAAUACUGAUUCUGGCUCUUCACAUUCAUAACAUGGUUGACAGCAGAUGUUUUGAAGAGAUGCGAAGUUGCACAUUCAGGGAUUUGCCUUCUCACUGGUUGCCUCAAAUAUUUUCAGUGAGAUUUGUAGCUUGUCCCAUUUUAAGAUUUUCUUUGUUGCAUCAGUUUGUAAUUCUUGCUAAAGAUGAUGGAGUUAAACAAUCUUAUAUGCAACUUCAAGUGGGGAAAUUUAGUUUCUGACUUCUAAUACUACAUCUAAUAAAAAUUCCUUGGAUUUCGAAGUUAAAAUUUCCUCAAGCAUGAUGCAUUUGAAAUCUGCAUCUUGAACUCAGAAUUUAGUUAAAGCCCAAUAAUCAACAUUUGAAAUUACAAUCUUCGAUGCAUGUUAUGGAAUGAUGAAUCUGGUGGUGAUA
Impatiens glandulifera is the source of this 681-nucleotide long non-coding RNA. RefSeq lists it as uncharacterized. The transcript has 3 exons. The record is from RefSeq and is a predicted model, not a curated record. NCBI's taxonomy places the organism in Eukaryota, Viridiplantae, Streptophyta, Magnoliopsida, Ericales, Balsaminaceae.